AUUGAACGCUGGCGGCAGGCCUAACACAUGCAAGUCGAGCGGAGCGGCAGACGGGUGAGUAAUGCCUAGGAAUCUGACUGGUAGUGGGGGAUAACGUCAGGAAACGGGCGCUAAUACCGCAUCCUCUCAGAUGAGCCUAGGUCGGAUUAGCUAGUUGGUGGGGUAAAGGUCUACCAAGGCGACGAUCCGUAACUGGACUGAGAGGAUGAUCAGUCACACUGGAACUGAGACACGGUCCAGACUCCUACGGGAGGCAGCAGUUGGGAAUAUUGGACAAUGGGCGAAAGCCUGAUCCAGCCAUGCCGCGUGAGUGAAGAAGGUCUUCGGAUUGUAAAGCACUUUAAGUUGGGAGGCGUUACCAACAGAAUAAGCACCGGCUAACUUCGUGCCAGCAGCCGCGGUAAUAC
This 407-nucleotide ribosomal RNA is filed under the name uncultured bacterium. RNAcentral describes it as "partial 16S ribosomal RNA". It matches the Rfam family "Bacterial small subunit ribosomal RNA", at positions 30 to 526 of the family's 1533-position model. The record is from RNAcentral.